GACGAACGCUGGCGGCGUGCUUAACACAUGCCAGUCGAACGGAAAGGCCCUGCUUUUGUGGGGUGCUCGAGUGGCGAACGGGUGAGUAACACGUGAGUAACCUGCCCUUGACUUUGGGAUAACUUCAGGAAACUGGGGCUAAUACCGGAUAGGAGCUCCUGCUGCAUGGUGGGGGUUGGAAAGUUUCGGCGGUUGGGGAUGGACUCGCGGCUUAUCAGCUUGUUGGUGGGGUAGUGGCUUACCAAGGCUUUGAGGGGUAGCCGGCCUGAGAGGGUGACCGGCCACGUUGGGCUGGAGAUGCGACACAGACUCCAAUGGUACGCAGCAGUGGAGAAUAUUGCACAAUAGGCGGAAGCCUGGUGUAGCAACGCCGCGUGGGGGAUGACGGCCUUCGCGUUGUAAACCGCUUUCGCCUUUGACGAAACGUGAGUGACGGUAACGGGUAAAGAAGCACCGGCUAACUACGUG
RNAcentral lists this ribosomal RNA (468 nucleotides) under uncultured bacterium. RNAcentral describes it as "partial 16S ribosomal RNA". It matches the Rfam family "Bacterial small subunit ribosomal RNA", at positions 28 to 507 of the family's 1533-position model. The record is from RNAcentral.